RNAcentral lists this ribosomal RNA (497 nucleotides) under uncultured bacterium. RNAcentral describes it as "partial 16S ribosomal RNA". It matches the Rfam family "Bacterial small subunit ribosomal RNA", at positions 28 to 507 of the family's 1533-position model. The record is from RNAcentral.
GAUGAACGCUGGCGGCGUGCCUAAUACAUGCAAGUCGAGCGAACGGACGCGAAGCUUGCUUUUCUGAUGUUAGCGGCGGACGGGUGUGUAACACGUGGAUCACCUACUUAUCUGACUGGUAUAUCUUCGGGAAACCGGAGCUAAUACCGGAUAAUCUUUUGAUCCGCAUGGUUCAUAAGUGAAAGUCGGUCUUGCUGGCACUUAUAGAUGGAUCCGCGCUGCAUUAGCUAGUUGGUAAGGUAACGGGUUAUCAAGGCAACGAUGCCUAGCCGACGUGAGAGGGUGAUAGGCCACACUGGAACUGAGACACGGUCCAGGCUCCUACGGGAGGGAGCAGUAGGGUACGUGCCGCAAUAGGCGAGAACCUGGCGGAGCAACGCGGCGUGAGUGAUGAAGGUCUUCGGUGCGGAAAACUCUGUUAUGAGGGAAGAACAUAUGUGUAAGUAGCUGUGGACAUCUUGACGGUACCGAAUAAAAAAGCCACGGCUAACUACGUG